RNAcentral lists this long non-coding RNA (2076 nucleotides) under Nicotiana benthamiana. Its description in RNAcentral is "long non-coding RNA (NBEN_LNC030321)". The record is from RNAcentral. Lineage: Eukaryota; Viridiplantae; Streptophyta; Magnoliopsida; Solanales; Solanaceae.
AUGCAGCCAAAACUGAAUUCAAUUUUCUUAUUUAAGUAUUCCCCUGUUCGAGCACUCAAUCACACAUAAGAACCUAGAGUCGAUUUCUAUGAUAAUGCCAUUGCCAAUAUUAACAGUUCAACUAGUUACUGAACACCAAUUCACUGGGCUAAUUAAUAGUCUAUUACAAAAUGAUAGUCAAAAACUGCCCACUUGUUACAAAUGAUACAAAAUUUUCCCAUAAACGUGAUUGUUUCACACUUUAACACCAAACAAAAACAAAUAAAUUCAGAAAUCAACUCAAGCACUUCAUCAUUUAAUCUCCAAAUCAAAACUACAUAGAACCCCCACAGUUCAGACGAGGCCAAUGAGAAUACCUGAAAAUUGAAAUGUAAUAAGAAAAGGAGAGGUCAGCAGCUGCCAAGGACAAGCAGCAAUGUUAAAUAGUAGCAACAAAAGCAAAUCUAGAACUGAAAUAGCCUCAUAAACCCAGCUAUGAAGUAUGAACCCAUUGAUUAACACAUCUAAUGCAGAGUCAAUAUAACCAGCUCGUACAGGUCAGGUUCACUUUGAAAUAGACUCAAAAACUUUCAAAACUCGAUUACAGAUUACCAGUAGAAAUUGUAAACCAUUUUUGGAUCCUAACUGAGCUGGAAAUCCGAUUGAGAUGCUGGAAUUCAAACUUGAUUAAAGAAAACUCUAAUGAAACAGUAUUUUUUAUUUUAUUUUUUUGUUGUUUUUUCCUCUUUUUUGGUGAUUUUCUGAAAAGUUUCAGUUCUAAGAGAGAUUUCAAAUUCUAGAUCUUGGUUUUUGAAUCUGAAACUAUAGACUGUUUUGGGGGGAAUUUUUGGAGGUUGAAACUUAUCAAUUCAGGCAGAAUGUACUGUCUUUUAUAGGCAAAGCUUAAGGGAAACUUCAUAUUUUCAAUUUUCCAUCUUAGGUCUUAUUUGAAUUCUCAUUAUUGCUUAAGUAACCCUGGAUUUAUGACUUGUUCCCCAAGUUCCACUACCCAAAAGGCUGAAAUUCAAAUCCCACCCCACCCUAAAAGCUUCUUAGUUUGUUAUGAGAGAUUCCAUAAUCCUCAAUUGCCUAAGUUACCCUUCCAGACCUUGGUAUUUACUUGUUAAAGCCAAUUGGGAAAGCUGACUCAAAUAAUGGCCUGCAGAAACCAAAAUGCAUCCCAAUUGGGCUUUAUCAUUCUUUACAAAUCUAAUUAACUACUUAAGGCCCUCCAGAAUAGAAUUUGACCCCCAUAUUCCCACAUAAAGAAACCUAAAUCUAUUUUCCAAUACAAUAGCAAAGUUCACUGAACCAAACAUUACUGAAAUUUAAUUAAAUUAAACCCCCAAAUGAACUAAUUAGUGAUAAAACAUGGUAACUAAACUGAACCAUGAACAAAAUGGGAUUGAAUAAACAAACUCUGGUUUGAAUCAUGCCUGACUUGCCCAGAAAAAGAAGUAACGAGAAGAUUAGAGGCUGGAACAUUAAGACGAAUGGACAGGAGAAGAACCUUCCUCGCAGCACUUGAAUUUGAACCUGGCUUUCUGACUUCGGCGCCAAAUAAUAUUGACCUCUUGUUCUUUGUCAAGAACAAGCAUACAACACUAAGUUGCGCAAAAAUCGACUCUACAUGCUAGGGUUUGGUCUUGCAUCUUGGAGACUCUGAGUUUGUAUUUAAGAUUCGAGAGAGUUGGGGAGUAUUUGGGAAAAUGAUUCAUGGAUUCAACACAAGGGUACUCUGGUGGUUUUGUGGUAUCAUUUUGGUAGAGUGUGAUAUACAUGGCUAAUCUAGGGUUAAGAGAUGUGUAGGAGCAGAGAGAUAUAAGAUGAAGAAGAUGAGGAACUCAAUAGUCUCAGUCAUUUUUGGACAUUGUUAAGCAAAAUGGGGGGAAGUACUACAGCCGUUGGAUGAGGGGAAAUAAAUGGCUAAGAUCGACUAAAACCCUACAAACUCUAAACGACGCUGUCUGGUACAAGGCUAACUCGGUUGGGGAAGGGUUUGGGCCGUAUUUGGACGGGUUUAAUUCUGUUUCCACGUGCAAAAUUUAUCUGGCCUGGGCCAGUUUGGCCCAAAUGUGGGCAUAUCACUAAGCCUAU